RNAcentral lists this ribosomal RNA (397 nucleotides) under uncultured bacterium. RNAcentral describes it as "partial 16S ribosomal RNA". It matches the Rfam family "Bacterial small subunit ribosomal RNA", at positions 359 to 774 of the family's 1533-position model. The record is from RNAcentral.
GAUAUUGCACAAUGGGGGAAACCCUGAUGCAGCGACGCCGCGUGGGUGAAGAAGUAUUNCGGUAUNUNAAGCCCUAUCAGCAGGGNAGAUAAUGACGGUACCUGAGUAAGAAGCCCCGGCUAACUACGUGCCAGCAGCCGCGGUAAUACGUAGGGGGCAAGCGUUAUCCGGAUUUACUGGGUGUAAAGGGGGCGCAGACGGAAAUGCAAGCCAGAUGUGAAAGCCCGGGGCUCAGCCCUGGGAGUGCAUUUGGAACUGUGUAUCUAGAGUACUGGAGAGGUAAGCGGAAUUCCUGGUGUAGCGGUGAAAUGCGUAGAUAUCAGGAAGAACACCGGUGGCGAAGGCGGCUUACUGGACAGAGACUGACGUUGAGGCCCGAAAGCGUGGGGAGCAAACA